This 565-nucleotide long non-coding RNA is filed under the name Nicotiana benthamiana. Its description in RNAcentral is "long non-coding RNA (NBEN_LNC035337)". The record is from RNAcentral. Lineage: Eukaryota; Viridiplantae; Streptophyta; Magnoliopsida; Solanales; Solanaceae.
GCAUUCACACGGGGCCUCAACCCAAGGGGCGUGAUAUAAACAACCUAUUCUAAUGAAAAGAAACAUGGAGAAAACAAUAUAGGCCUAAAUUGUCUGUCCGAAAAGCGAACUUUUACUGUCUAAAUGAGGGAGGACGAGAGUAGUUACAUGAUCAACUAAAUGCAGAAAGUCAUCGAUCUGGUUUCAUUUGUUUCUAUAUUCUCACUGUACAUUGAACAAGCUAUAGCAAACAACAAAGAGUAUCCAGCUUUUAUUGGGACUUGCAUUGCAGACAGCAGUUUACUGUAGCAACAACAUUCUUCUGUUAGAUUUAAAGGAUUUCUGAGGUUAAAUAAAGACGAGAAAGGUUGCUGAUAUAUCUCACUCUAGUAUUUGCGGUGUAUAUUGUUCAAUCAAUCAACUACACCUCAAUUAUAAACUAUUUGAGUCGGUUAUGUGACGGAGGAACGAAGAGCAAACACAGUAAAAUACAGCUAUAGAUUUCCCUAUUCUAUACUUGAAUGACCAUCUUCCAUUUCCACAUUGAAGCACCCUUCAAUAAUGCCACGGAGAUACUCUAACUGCU